UUUAUAUACAAGUAUAUAAACAUUUUACAGAGUAUCCCAUUUUUCACAAAAAUGUAUCUUCACUAAUUCUUAUUUUCCAAGAAUUAUGGAAAUUCGAUGUGAGUUCUUGUAAAUUAUAAAAAUGUUUUAUAUGAUUCCUCAGUAAUAACUAUUUGUGUAGAUUUUGAAAGUACAAAUAAGAAAAAUAUUUAUGAGGAAUGCAUUUUGAAACAGGAAAUACACAAGAAUGAAGAGAACAAUCACUCGUGAAUGUCCACCUAUCAUCAUUCCUUUACAGUUCCGAAAUCUUCCUAAGGAAUAAAACCUGCCAGGAGAAACUUUCUUUCUUCUAACGGUGUGCACUUACUCGUAGUCGGAAGCCAGACUCAGCUGGCUUCCCUAGAGAGGAAGCUCAAAAGCGCUUCGGUGUAUCUCACCAGCUUCCAUUCCCAUUCUUGUGAAAUGCAUCAGAGUAAGGUUCAGAAAGAAUGAAGAACUCCCCGCUCCCCUGCUCUUUCAAUCCUUCUUUGUACUUUUAAUUUUAAAAAGCAUAAAAAUAGAGAAGCUGGAAGAAAUUCUAUGAACUUUCUUAUUUUCUUCACCCAUAUUCGCCAAUUCUUAGCCUUGCCAUAUUAACUGUGU
Molecule: long non-coding RNA, 621 nt
Filed under: Macaca nemestrina (pig-tailed macaque)
Lineage: Eukaryota; Metazoa; Chordata; Mammalia; Primates; Cercopithecidae
Description: lncRNA (ENSMNEG00000045743.1)
Source: RNAcentral